Molecule: non-coding RNA, 808 nt
Organism: Paramuricea clavata
Lineage: Eukaryota; Metazoa; Cnidaria; Anthozoa; Malacalcyonacea; Plexauridae
Source: the annotation of a GenBank genome assembly
AGGGGGGUGUAGAGUGUAGACAUUAAAUGGAAAUGACUCCCGGGAUUUCUAAUAUACCUGCCGAAGUAUUACGAAGAAUUGUCGAGAACAUGUCGGGAAUCUCCGUGUUGUUCCGAUUAUCAAUUUAUCUUUUUAAAACAAUAUGGCGACUAUUAAUUUUUAGGUGUGUAUAAAAAAUAUUGCAGAAAGAAUCAUAAUAAAAGCUGUUUUCCAUAAUAUUACACAAGAAUCUGCGAAAUACUGUUUUCUACAAUGUCGGACAGGAAAGCUGAGUUAGAGAGAAAGCGAAAUAAACUUGAAGAAAUUAGGAGAAAAAGAGAAGAGAAGACUCAGCAGAAAAGAGUGAGUCUGUAGUUCACUAGUUCAAUCAUCUUGAUUCUUGAAAUUUUGAAUUAUGUUAGUGUUUAUGUUACCCGUGUACAAACUUAUACAUGUAUGGGUUUGGAGUCGUAUUUUAUUUAUAUUUAUUUAUACAAAAGUGAACUGUAUUGAUAUGUGAUGAAAGAAAUUGUUUCUAUUGUAUAAACCUUGUCAGACUCCUUCACGCCUUGAAGGAGCUGUUAUGCAAUUAUAUGGACUAUUAGGAAUUAUAUUUUCAUGGAGUGAAAGAAACACCAAAAUAAAUCAUUGCUAUUGAACAACAGAAUAAAAGGAGCAGUAAAUAUAGAAAAGGAGCAGUAAAUCUAUAUAUUCCUGGGUUAUAGUACAUCCUGGCUGGAAAGUUUGGAAAUUGCGUGGCCAAGAUUUCGAAAAUUUAAUAGUAAAUAUAUAGAAAGCAUCAAAAUUGUGCGCCCGAUAUCUCGGCCGC